RNAcentral lists this ribosomal RNA (253 nucleotides) under uncultured bacterium. RNAcentral describes it as "partial 16S ribosomal RNA". It matches the Rfam family "Bacterial small subunit ribosomal RNA", at positions 524 to 776 of the family's 1533-position model. The record is from RNAcentral.
UACGGAGGGUGCAAGCGUUGUCCGGAUUUAUUGGGUUUAAAGGGUGCGUAGGCGGCCUUAUAAGUCAGUGGUGAAAUACGACAGCUUAACUGUCGAACUGCCAUUGAUACUGUAGGGCUUGGGUACAGACGAGGUAGGCGGAAUUGAUAGUGUAGCGGUGAAAUGCAUAGAUACGAGGAAGAACACCGAUUGCGAAGGCAGCUUACUAGGCUGUAACUGACGCUGAGGCACGAAAGCGUGGGGAGCAAACAGG